Molecule: ribosomal RNA, 497 nt
Filed under: uncultured bacterium
Lineage: Bacteria
Description: bacterial SSU rRNA
Rfam family: Bacterial small subunit ribosomal RNA
Source: RNAcentral
AGAGUUUGAUCAUGGCUCAGGAUGAACGCUAGCGGGAGGCCUAACACAUGCAAGCCGAGCGGUAUUGUUCUUCGGAAAUGAGAGAGCGGCGUACGGGUGCGGAACACGUGUGCAACCUGCCUUUACCUGGGGGAUAGCCUUUCGAAAGGAAGAUUAAUACUCCAUAAUAUAUUGAACGGCAUCGUUUAAUAUUGAAAGCUCCGGCGGAUAGAGAUGGGCACGCGCAAGAUUAGCUAGUUGGUGAGGUAACGGCUCACCAAGGCAAUGAUCUUUAGGGGCCUGAGAGGGUGAUCCCCCACACUGGUACUGAGACACGGACCAGACUCCUACGGGAGGCAGCAGUGAGGAAUAUUGGUCAAUGGGUGCAAGCCUGAACCAGCCAUCCCGCGUGAAGGACGACUGCCCUAUGGGUUGUAAACUUCUUUUGUAUAGGGAUAAACCUUUCCACGUGUGGAAAGCUGAAGGUACUAUACGAAUAAGCACCGGCUAACUCCGUG